GACACUAUAGCUUAGUGGUUGAGCAUACGAUUGCAAUGAUAAACCCACAGAAUUUUCCAUUUCAUCGUGAGGUCCCGUGUUCGAACCACGGUAGUGUCU
Non-coding RNA from Mycena vitilis, 99 nucleotides. The record is from the annotation of a GenBank genome assembly. Lineage: Eukaryota; Fungi; Basidiomycota; Agaricomycetes; Agaricales; Mycenaceae.